Molecule: ribosomal RNA, 465 nt
Filed under: Vreelandella stevensii
Lineage: Bacteria; Pseudomonadati; Pseudomonadota; Gammaproteobacteria; Oceanospirillales; Halomonadaceae
Description: partial 16S ribosomal RNA
Rfam family: Bacterial small subunit ribosomal RNA
Source: RNAcentral
CCUACGGGAGGCAGCAGUGGGGAAUAUUGGACAAUGGGGGGAACCCUGAUCCAGCCAUGCCGCGUGUGUGAAGAAGGCCCUCGGGUUGUAAAGCACUUUCAGUGAGGAAGAAAGCCUGGUGGUUAAUACCCAUCAGGAAAGACAUCACUCACAGAAGAAGCACCGGCUAACUCCGUGCCAGCAGCCGCGGUAAUACGGAGGGUGCGAGCGUUAAUCGGAAUUACUGGGCGUAAAGCGCGCGUAGGUGGCUUGAUAAGCCGGUUGUGAAAGCCCCGGGCUCAACCUGGGAACGGCAUCCGGAACUGUCAAGCUAGAGUGCAGGAGAGGAAGGUAGAAUUCCCGGUGUAGCGGUGAAAUGCGUAGAGAUCGGGAGGAAUACCAGUGGCGAAGGCGGCCUUCUGGACUGACACUGACACUGAGGUGCGAAAGCGUGGGUAGCAAACAGGAUUAGAUACCCUAGUAGUC